This 495-nucleotide ribosomal RNA is filed under the name uncultured bacterium. Its description in RNAcentral is "partial 16S ribosomal RNA". It matches the Rfam family "Bacterial small subunit ribosomal RNA", at positions 28 to 507 of the family's 1533-position model. The record is from RNAcentral.
GAUGAACGCUGGCGGCGUUCCUAAUACAUGCAAGUAGAACGCUGAAGGAGGAGCUUGCUCUUCUGGAUGAGUUGCGAACGGGUGAGUAACGCGUAGGUAACCUGCCUGGUAGCGGGGGAUAACUAUUGGAAACGAUAGCUAAUACCGCAUGACAACAGUUAUUGCAUGAUAACUGUUUAAAAGGGGCAACUGCUCCACUACCAGAUGGACCUGCGUUGUAUUAGCUAGUUGGUGAGGUAACGGCUCACCAAGGCGACGAUACAUAGCCGACCUGAGAGGGUGAUCGGCCACACUGGGACUGAGACACGGCCCAGACUCCUACGGGAGGCAGCAGUAGGGAAUCUUCGGCAAUGGACGGAAGUCUGACCGAGCAACGCCGCGUGAGUGAAGAAGGUUUUCGGAUCGUAAAGCUCUGUUGUAAGAGAAGAACGAGUGUGAGAGUGGAAAGUUCACACUGUGACGGUAUCUUACCAGAAAGGGACGGCUAACUACGUG